AUACUUCAGCUCUGACAAGCACCAUGGCCACUCUCUCCCUGCCUGACUGAACGGUCAGUCGAUGCUGUCCCUGAGGAGCCAUGCCUUGCCUUAGGUUUCCCAGACAGUCCUCUGAAAGGCUGGGGAACCACCACUUGGAAAUAAAGCUGCUUAAUGGCCUCAUCAAGAGCACUGAGCUGCAGAAACAGACUUCCACUGAGAUCCAGAAGAUAGGAAGGCUGCUCUGAAAAAUAAGCAGCAUGCAGGGAACUGAGUGCUCUGCUCUCUCAUGCUUGCUGCAGGAAGCCUUGAGAAACAGACCAGAAAAAGGUCUCAGGAAGAUGAAUAUUUGAAGAAAAACUCUGAAAUAAAUUUAUCCUCUGGUGUAUAUGCCAAUGCAGACAAUGUCCCAUCACUGUAAUUGUCACUCAGCUGUCUGUCAGUGAUGAGAAGAAAAGGGUGACAGCCUUGACAUCCCACCAAUCAUCCCUCUGGAAAAUUGAUAUCGUCCUCCCCGGUAAACAACAGCUAAAGAAUCGACCAGCCUUGCCAGCACAUCCCUGAACAAUCAGCUUCCAUUAAGGGCAGAAGCCACACAUUUAUCCCACCGUACUCCAAUCAAUAGUACACUGACUUGUUCUAUGCUCAAGCAUACCACUGCUCAAGGUCUGCAUUUAGUAAAGGCUUGCUUUCAAGUCUUUCAAACUUAAAUGUACAAUGGAGCUUCUGGGGUGUAAGUAAAGUCCUCUACUUUCAUGUAAAAUAUCUUGUCAAUUUGGCAUACUUACUUAAAUUCCCAGGAAGUUUAGCAGAUUGUUUUCUUGAUUAAAUUUUACUUUCUUUAGCAGUAAACUAAAAUCCACAAAAAUAAUAAAAUAGUAGUAAUUGAAAAGCAUUGGUUUGUCCGUUGCAGGAUUGCAGUUAUAUAUAUACAUGCUUUAGAGGAAUUUUACAUAAAUAGUAUAAAAGCUGACCUUAUUUAAAAUGACCUUAUGUGUAGUUAUACACUGAAAAUAUUGUCUGGCAAUCAGAACCGUUUGUUAAAUGUGAGGUCCCCAAUUGUUUAUACAUCAAUUAGUAACAUACCAACGUAUGUUACGUUAGACAGUUAGAUUGGUAAUGCAAUAAAAUCACUGAAAGGUGGUACACACAAUCUUUCAAGUUAAGAAAAAUAGUUAUUUACAUGAACAUAGAAUUUGUCUCCGCAGGAAAAGCAAAACAGGGGCCAGCAGGCUCACUUCACAACUUGAAAGAAAAGAAAAACAAAAACACCAGAAAUGCUGCAAACCUGCAAACCUGUAACUGCAGUUGCAGAUUAGUACUUCACUCUGUUACUUGACAUGAGGCGCUAAGUCAGCAGUUGCUGUUGUUAGCACGCGAACAUUUCUUCUGUAGAUUAUCUAGAAAUCAACUGGGGCCAUUACAGUACCAAAUCUCCUACACAGAUCACAGGAGGCAUGGCUACCCUGCUCAUUGACUUAACAUUUCUAACAUUAGAGCAUCUCCACUUCAAAUUUUGUAUCCUGACCCUCACUUGCAACCUUGAGGGUCUUCAUCAGCACACACCCCAGUGACACUGUGGCAAUGCCUCUCCCAGUGUCCCAAGUGCUCUUCUGCUUGCAGCCUUAUGCUGACAGGUACAAACUACUGUUGUAGUGGUUUCUUGUGGCAAACAAUUUGCUAAUGCCUGAAUCACUCUCUGCCUCAUAGCUUCUAACCUGCAAGACCAGGAUAAGAUCUCUUCACCUUCCCCUUGCUGUCUUAUAGCUUAGAACUGCAGCAUCCCACAGAUAACAUAACAGGUCAGACAAAUACAAAUCUAGUGAGCACGUUCCUGUAAUAUUCAUGUACACAAAGCUUGACCACAAACCAAUAUGCAAGACUUGUACCUGAUCACACCUGGUCUCACAAGUGCUUAUUGCACUGUAAGCAAGAACAUGCAGUCAGAAGUUUAGCUUGGUCCUGAUAAUAGUAUGUUCUGUAACAAGUGUUCGGGCUGCAUGGAAGAGAACACUUCAGGAAUACUCCUCACUUUUCUUUCUAGCUGACCACUAACAAGAGAUCUUCUUUUCUUCCUUCUGACCUCUUUUCUCCUUGUUUUUGUUUUCCAGCCAAUGUAACUUUGAAGCUGAUAUAUGCCAUCAGCUAUGAACCCCACUAAUAAAGCAUUGUGCAUGUAAGUGUGCCUGAAAAGUUUGUGCAACAUCAUCAGCAACUACUGACAGCAGAUAAAAUGACAACUGUUAGUAACCAGUACAGAGAUUACAUUUUCUCCAAAUACAAGUAGUAGAUUUUGAAUUUCCAAAUUAUCACUGUGAUCACAACAUCAUGCAUCUUGAUAAAAUGUUACUACAAAAUUACAAUGAUUUUUGAGAUAGGAGUUAUUAUUUGUAGAGUUAAGACCCUCUGCCAUUACUUGAACUUGAAAAUGUUAAAUUCUACAUACACAUAUAUAAGUAAAAUUCUUAAAAUUCUUAAGUUCAGAUUAUAAAGAAAAAUUAAGGAUUACCAUGAUAGGUUUCAUUUGUUUGGAGAUGUAGACACUACUGGUGCAAUGCGUAAAUCAUUAGGGAAUUCACUGUCCCCUUCACUUUGUUAAAUGGACACAAUCAAUACCUUAAUGGGAAUGUUUGGAAGCAUCCAUGGGCAGAUCAAAUUGGCACAUUACAACACUUUUUCCAGCCUCUACACUAAGUUCAUUAACUUCUCUCAUUUGAAUUACAAAUUUCAUUUCUCAGAUCAAGAUGAAGACAUGGCUCUCAUUUACAAGCUCAGAUUUUUUGCUGUGUUAAUGUUUUACAGUGAACAAUAAAGUUAAUGCAGUGGAGAGA
This is a long non-coding RNA of Gallus gallus (chicken), 2810 nucleotides long. RefSeq lists it as uncharacterized. The transcript has 5 exons. NCBI's taxonomy places the organism in Eukaryota, Metazoa, Chordata, Aves, Galliformes, Phasianidae. The record is from RefSeq and is a predicted model, not a curated record.